UUUUGAACUUUUUUUACACAAAUAAACAAAUCUUUUGGUAUUUAAGCCACUUUAUUCUGGGUUUUCUAUUAACCUAUUUGAUAGAGAGGUUCAUCAGAGUUAACUAGAAGGCACAGGAAACAUGAAUCAGCAACAGAGAACUGGGAUGUGUGACUUUUGUCUAGUCUGGUUGGGAAACUAGAGUGGAAGGUGCAACCAGGAAUCUGGCAGACUAGUCAGGUUCAAUGUUGAAACUCCAGCCCAAUGCAUGGGUGUGAACCAUCUGGGUCACAAUCACUGAUGGGGAAGAAGCAGCUAUUGUGCUGUCAGGCCAGGUAUUCCUUGUGCAGUAGACAGCUGGCCUUGCAAGGGCCAGACAUGGGUUGAGCAGAGACAGAGGCAGGCAGAGCUGACAUAGCCCAUGCCUGUUUCAGAGAUGGUGAAAGCAGAACUAUUCUGCUGAGCCUCUCUUUCUCUUCUUGGGGCUGUCUGUAAGCAGCUGGCUGACUCUAAUAUCCAGGCUUGUGAGAAUCAGCUCUGUUCCUCUCUCUGUCGUGUGUGGGCCAGCUGCAUCCCCACUGGUCCUCAUUUCCCCUGCACUGAGCUCAUUCACUCCCUGGGGAUUAAUUUGACUGUGAAUACUGUGGACUCUGAAGUGUGGGAAAACUGGAGACACAAACAACAGAAGCCUUAAUGCUACAGGGGCAGAGAGUAGCAUCUUUUCCUUGCUUAGCAUCACAUGAGACCUGGCAGGCCGUUUUGUUGCUGGUGACAUUCCGUAAUCAAAGACACUUCUACCCAGUGACUCAGGGAGGCAGCCUGCUGCUGAGCAAAGAGGAGGCAGGUCUGCAAGCUGGAGUUCAGAGAAACUUAGGAUCGUAUGAGAAUGAUCAGUCCAGAGCUCUCAGAAUCAAAGAGAUGUGAUGGCAGAGUGGGGCUGCUAUCUUGGGCCAUGAAGCAACAAGCAUGAAGACAUACAAAGGAUGGUUGAGUGGAAAGGUAGGAGUCUGAUGGCACUGUGGGGUUUCUGUUCCAGCCCUGGAGGGCCUGCCAGUGGAAAUUUUGUUGCAUGAGAAAGAGAAACCUUUAAGUAAACAAGCCACUGAUUUUUAAGUAUUGUGUUAUGGACAGCCAAGCCUAUUCUGUAAUUGAUUAAUUCCUAAUUGAUUAAUCCAGGAAUGACCCAAUUCUAGUAAUAUUUUAUCCCUGUCAUUCCUCCUUCUUUGAAAAACAUUCUCAGCAUCUGAGGGCAGUUUCGAGGAUUAAAUGAGUCAGUAUGAGUGAGGUUUUUGAAGUAGUGACUGAUAGUAAAUAUUGGUUCCUAUUACAGAAAGUGAGUACAAGAUAGUUUUUCCAAGAGAAUAAGGAUAGGGUUUCCGGAAGUCUUAGCUCCAGGUGAUACAGCUACAGUUGCCUUAUACAGGAAUAUGCUUACGAGGCAGGGUAAAAGGCUCAUUACACUUCAUAUGAUGUGUGUGCAUCCUUAUCUCACUGUGCUGAACUUUGAUGAGUAAAACUUGGUUUAUUACAGAAUAUGUGAAGGUAUUGGUGGGAGCCAUACACAGCACAAGAUCAUGGACAGUGGACAGUAAAAACCAAGUUAGAAAUAUUUAUGGAGCACUGCUUAUGCGUAGCGCUCAGUGUUGGUCCUGUGAUUGGAGAUAAUUUUUGUCAUCAAAUAGGACCUGUACCUUUAUGGGAUUCUGAAUGAAAGAGAAACAGUCAUGAGAAUAUUUAUUUGGUUACAUGUGCACUACAGCUGAAAAAAGAAAAGGCACUGCUACAUGGCCCUUGCCCAGGAGGGACUCACAAAAUCAUAAGACAAUUCAUAUUUUGUAACCAAACAUUUGAAAAAAAGAAGUAAUCGUGAACUCCAGGAAAAACAAAAAUGUUCCAAGAAUGUAAUUAAUCAUAGCAUACUACUAUGAGCAUAGUAAACUAGCAGCAAACAAUACUUAAUCAUAAUAACUAAAAAACUCAAAAUGGAUGAACCCUCAAAUUAUGAGGUAACUAACUGGGAGAAUGAAGGGGGUGAAGGGUAUUUGAGAGCGGUAAUAUCUUCCUCUGCUAUAAGAAGUCAGUAGAUAAUAUUUAAAAUUGAUAAAUCAAGUGGUAGCAGUAUAUUUGUAUUAUGUAAAGAUUUGCGGUAAAUUAGAAGAAAAAAGUCACUCAGAGAUGAUGUGGUUGCAGUGGGUGGGCUGAGAAAGGCAAGGAAUUGCCCUUUUUGGUGAAACAUUUUAGACUAUUCGACUUUUGAACUUUGAUAGAUUUUAAGCUAAAACAUUAAUUAAAAAUUAUGUUUUGGACAGAACAAAAAAAGGGAUUGAACAGUGAAAGAUCAAGAGGGAAUGAUUCCUUGGGAGCGGCAGUUGACAAAGCAAAUUACAGAAUAUACUCAGUGAGAAUCAGAUGAAACACGGGAGAUAAAAGGCUCCGGACCAAGAGGUCCCAGCGAAGCAUUCAGAGGAGAAAGGCUGCAACCAGGAAGUCCACACACUCACAGCUGCUUCCAGGCCCCGGUGCUCACCCAGUAACAAAGCCACUUCUGUCUGGGAAAACCACAGCAAGGCGAGGCAGGGAGCAGAAAGCCUUUAAUUGGGGUGGCGAACG
Papio anubis (olive baboon) is the source of this 2589-nucleotide long non-coding RNA. The record is from Ensembl. NCBI's taxonomy places the organism in Eukaryota, Metazoa, Chordata, Mammalia, Primates, Cercopithecidae.